GCCAGACAGAGCAGUACACAAAAGUGGGAAAACAAACCAAAAUAAACAACCGGACAAAGAAAAACUAAAAGAAAAUAACUAUUUGCUUUGCUCACACAGUCAUAAUUCCAAGGAAUUAAACAGAAUCAAACAAGGGUCAGAAUUUGAGAAGAAGAGAGAGAGGCAGAGGAAGGGAAAGGGACAGUGUUGGAAUUGUGAUAUGAAAGAAGUAUGGAGAACCACAUGGAUCCUUCACAUAAAGUCUUACAGCUGCAGUUGCGAAUUGUGAAUGAGCAUAGAAGAAUACUGCAUUCCAGAAAUUCAAGAAAAAACUUGGACGACUUUAACUGGCUUCAGAAACAGCUGGAAGAAAGCUGCACCGAAAUCAAAGCAGUGAGCUACAUGGUGCAUAAUAUCCAUUUCUAUGAGAAAUUAUGUGAUUAUCAGAGAAAUACUUGCCUCAGACCUUCCAAAGUUUCUUAGGAUAUCUAUGUUCAAAAUCAAAGCCUGCAUG
RNAcentral lists this long non-coding RNA (493 nucleotides) under Phasianus colchicus (ring-necked pheasant). Its description in RNAcentral is "lncRNA (ENSPCLG00000021059.1)". The record is from RNAcentral. Lineage: Eukaryota; Metazoa; Chordata; Aves; Galliformes; Phasianidae.